CAAACAUUCCUAGGAAAUGGGCUGACAUGAGGAAGGGAUCCUGUGGAGAGACUCAGAGUCGUUGACCUAGUAAGCAGCUUGUGAGAAGUUCCAGACCGGCUGAGGGCAUGUUGUUGGGUAACUGUUUGGGAAAAACAGUCUGUAAAGUUGACAAGCACCAUUAAACCUCCAGCCAUAUGUCUGGCUGCCCCUUUCAAAAGGCUGUCGUGCAUUUGUUGUGGCUUGGGAAUUAGAGAAUGAAAUUGGACAGUUCCUUAAAAAG
Molecule: non-coding RNA, 262 nt
Organism: Peromyscus maniculatus bairdii (prairie deer mouse)
Lineage: Eukaryota; Metazoa; Chordata; Mammalia; Rodentia; Cricetidae
Source: RefSeq, a predicted model, not a curated record